ACAGCGUAAUAACUACUAUACUAUUCUUUAAAAUAUAAAAAAUAAAUUACAUUCACCGAUAUACAUAUAUAAAGUUGAUAUUACGUGGGACUUUUAACUAUUUUCUGCCCAUAUUCUUCAAUUAUACAUGUGCGUAUUAAUAUUUCCUCCUAUUUAUUCCCUUUUUUAUUUUGUUUUAAACAAUACUACAACAAUUACAAUUAUAAACAAAAUUUAUUUUUUAAUUAUUAAAUAUCUGAUAUAUCUAAACUGUAAUAUAGACAAAAUACAUCAGUUAUUCAAUAAAUCUAAAAAAUAAAUUUAUGUUUUUAACUAUGACUGGGGAAAGUAGUAUAUUUAAUUUAUUAAAAUUACAAGUAUAGAAACCCCCAAUUGUAAACCAAGAAUCAAAGCAUGAUUUUGGUUAUGCAGUAUGAAUCAGUAUACAAGGAAGUUAAAUUAAAAAAUAUAUCACAAGAAAUAUUAACCGUGGCCUUCACCUUAACAACAUUAAUCAAAUGCACUUUUCCAUAAAGUGUUGCCUUAGCUGUAAAAUUGAAAGAUCCAUCUUC
RNAcentral lists this long non-coding RNA (551 nucleotides) under Trifolium pratense (red clover). Its description in RNAcentral is "long non-coding RNA (TPRA_LNC009550)". Lineage: Eukaryota; Viridiplantae; Streptophyta; Magnoliopsida; Fabales; Fabaceae. The record is from RNAcentral.